UGUCGGGAGGCAUUCACACCUCUGGGAACCGGCUAUGAACUCCGAGGAGCAGGGCAGUGGACAUGGAGUAUGAGCCACGAAGAGCCACAUGUGCCUGGGGCCAGAGCACAUAGGAGGCGGGGGCUCCUCGGAGACCCAGGCUGGGCUGAGGCAGAGCCAUACUCAUGACGCCCACCCUUGCCUCCACCACGGCCCCAAAGGUCUUCCCUCUGGCCACCAGCUGUGGGACCACAUCUGACUCCAAAGCAGCCCUGGGCUGCCUGGUCUCUGGCUACUUCCCAGAGCCGGUGACUGUGUCCUGGAACUCAGGCACCCUGACCAGUGGCGUGCACACCUUCCCAUCCGUCCUGCAGUCCUCGGGGCUCUACUCCCUCAGCAGCAUGGUGACCGUGCCUGCCAGCAGCUUGGAGAGCCAGACCUACACCUGCAACGUAGCCCACCCGGCCAGCCGCACCAAGGUGGACAAGAGAGUCGAGCCAAGAACACCCAAGCCAGAUGAUCAGCCCAGACCACCCAAGCCAGCUGAUCAGCCCAGACCACCCAAGCCAGAUGAUCAGCCCCAAACACCAAACAGGCAUGAAGACCAGAAGUCCUGCCCCAAGUGUCCCAAAUGCCCAGCUCCUGAAAUCCCAGGAGGGCCGUCGGUCUUCAUCUUCCCCCCAAAACCCAAGGACACCCUCACGACCUCCCAGACGCCCGAGGUCACCUGCGUGGUGGUAGACGUGAGCCAGGACAGCCCUGAUGUCCAGUUCAGCUGGUAUGUGGAAAAUAAAGAGGUGAACACGGCCACGACAAAGCCAAGGGAAGAGCAGUUCAACAGCACCUACCGUGUGGUCAGCAUCCUCCCUGUCCACCACCAGGACUGGCUGAGUGGAAAGGAGUUCAAGUGUAAGGUCAACAACAGAGCCCUCCCGGCCCCCAUUGAGAGGACCAUCUCCAAGGCCAAAGGGCAGGCCCGGGAGCCACAGGUGUACGUCCUGCCCCCACACCAGGACGAACUGUCCAAGAACAGGGUCAGCGUGACCUGCCUGGUCAAAGACUUCUACCCACCUGACAUUGUCGUCGAGUGGCAGAGCAAUGGGAGGCCAGAGCUGGCAGAGAAGUACAGCACCACCCCGCCCCAGCAGGACAGCAACGGGUCCUACUUCCUGUACAGCAAGCUCUCAGUGGAGACGAAUAGGUGGAAUCAGGGAGUGAGGUUCGCGUGUGAGGUGAUGCAUGAGGCUCUCCACAAUCACUACACUCAGAUAUCCAUCACCAAGUCUCUGGAGGUGGUCCUGGACGAGAGCUGUGCUGAGACCCAGGACGGGGAGCUGGACGGGCUGUGGACCACCAUCUCCAUCUUCAUCACACUCUUCCUGCUCAGCGUGUGCUACAGCGCCACCGUCACCCUCUUCAAGGUGAAGUGGAUCUUCUCCUCGGUGGUGGAGCUGAAGCGGACCAUCGUCCCCGACUACAGGAACAUGAUUGGGCAGGGGGCCUAGGGCCACUCUUCCUGGGCGGGCAUCCUGGGCUGGUCCAGACUUUGGACAGGAUCUGGUCCAUCUGUUCUUGCUGCUCAGCCUGCCACCCAGACCUGCUCCUCUGCCUUCUGACCUUGCCAGACUUGGACCUCACUGCCCCCUUUGGCCUGCAGUGUGCCUUCUGACCUCACAGCCACCACAGGCUGUAUCCUGACCCCUGACCCCCGUUGGAGAACCAAGUGGACGGCAGAUGUAACCCUGAGCUGAGAUGAUGGACACCCACCAGUCCCUCCGCAGCAGCCACCAAGAAACACCAGGGCCAUGU
Diceros bicornis minor is the source of this 1788-nucleotide non-coding RNA. Lineage: Eukaryota; Metazoa; Chordata; Mammalia; Perissodactyla; Rhinocerotidae. The record is from the annotation of a RefSeq genome assembly.